This is a long non-coding RNA of Lathyrus oleraceus (garden pea), 835 nucleotides long. RefSeq lists it as uncharacterized. The transcript is spliced from 5 exons. The record is from RefSeq and is a predicted model, not a curated record. NCBI's taxonomy places the organism in Eukaryota, Viridiplantae, Streptophyta, Magnoliopsida, Fabales, Fabaceae.
UUAGGUUUUUUCUCCUCCUCUACAGUAUUCGUUUCGCCCCUUUUUAUAUCAACAACUUAGGGUUUUAGGUUGGCUUAUGGAGAUCCAGAAGGGGUUUCUGCGAAAUCCCUUUAGGGUUGUCAGAUUUUGGUCGCCCUAUUUGAUUGUUAAAUUCGGAAGAGUGAAAACUAGAACCUUCAUGAGUGGUUUACAAAUUUCUUCUUCUACUUUGUGAUACAGACUAUAGCACAGCGUUUCUGAAUCAUCACAGCAAGAGAUAUGCAGCUUUAAAAGUAAUGUGCUUUGAAAAAAGGUGUUUUUGUUAUGGAAAUCCUAGGGUGGAGUUCUAGUGUGGAUGAAGCUCUUAGAUCCGCUUCUGGUUCGGUUGAGGAUGUGAAACUGUUUUGCUGUGAUCAAACUCAGGUUAACCAAUUGCCUUGGAAGUUAUGUUAGAGGCUGCUAUGGAGUUUUCGGUUUUGUAUGGAGGUUAACCAACCAAUUAGUAAGGGCGGAUUCAGGUUGUGGCUUUGAAUCAUGCUGUUGGAGGUUAGGUGGAUAUCAUUUGGGUUGAAAUUCGUUGGACAGUUGGAAGUUCGGUUGGAAUUUGUUAUGAUUCUAUUCUGAAUUCAGUUGAAAUUUGGAAAUUCGGAUCCUUUGGUUUGCACUUGCAGGUGUGAUGCAUAAUUGGUUAAUUACCGCAGAAUUUUGGACAUAUUUGCUUCAGGAAUGAAUAGAAAGUUUGAAGGUUAUUGAUAUAUUGAAUGAAAGUUUGAUGGUUUGAAUGAAUUGUAUGGAGUGUAGGAUUGUAAUGGUAUGUAAUGAAUUGUUAAAAAAAGAAUGGAAAAUUACUUACACA